This 2931-nucleotide ribosomal RNA is filed under the name Escherichia coli 042. Its description in RNAcentral is "23S ribosomal RNA". It matches the Rfam family "Bacterial large subunit ribosomal RNA". Lineage: Bacteria; Pseudomonadati; Pseudomonadota; Gammaproteobacteria; Enterobacterales; Enterobacteriaceae. The record is from RNAcentral.
GGGUUGUGAGGUUAAGCGACUAAGCGUACACGGUGGAUGCCCUGGCAGUCAGAGGCGAUGAAGGACGUGCUAAUCUGCGAUAAGCGUCGGUAAGGUGAUAUGAACCGUUAUAACCGGCGAUUUCCGAAUGGGGAAACCCAGUGUGAUUCGUCACACUAUCAUUAACUGAAUCCAUAGGUUAAUGAGGCGAACCGGGGGAACUGAAACAUCUAAGUACCCCGAGGAAAAGAAAUCAACCGAGAUUCCCCCCAGUAGCGGCGAGCGAACGGGGAGCAGCCCAGAGCCUGAAUCAGUGUGUGUGUUAGUGGAAGCGUCUGGAAAGGCGCGCGAUACAGGGUGACAGCCCCGUACACAAAAAUGCACAUGCUGUGAGCUCGAUGAGUAGGGCGGGACACGUGGUAUCCUGUCUGAAUAUGGGGGGACCAUCCUCCAAGGCUAAAUACUCCUGACUGACCGAUAGUGAACCAGUACCGUGAGGGAAAGGCGAAAAGAACCCCGGCGAGGGAGUGAAAAGAACCUGAAACCGUGUACGUACAAGCAGUGGGAGCACGCUUAGGCGUGUGACUGCGUACCUUUUGUAUAAUGGGUCAGCGACUUAUAUUCUGUAGCAAGGUUAACCGAAUAGGGGAGCCGAAGGGAAACCGAGUCUUAACUGGGCGUUAAGUUGCAGGGUAUAGACCCGAAACCCGGUGAUCUAGCCAUGGGCAGGUUGAAGGUUGGGUAACACUAACUGGAGGACCGAACCGACUAAUGUUGAAAAAUUAGCGGAUGACUUGUGGCUGGGGGUGAAAGGCCAAUCAAACCGGGAGAUAGCUGGUUCUCCCCGAAAGCUAUUUAGGUAGCGCCUCGUGAAUUCAUCUCCGGGGGUAGAGCACUGUUUCGGCAAGGGGGUCAUCCCGACUUACCAACCCGAUGCAAACUGCGAAUACCGGAGAAUGUUAUCACGGGAGACACACGGCGGGUGCUAACGUCCGUCGUGAAGAGGGAAACAACCCAGACCGCCAGCUAAGGUCCCAAAGUCAUGGUUAAGUGGGAAACGAUGUGGGAAGGCCCAGACAGCCAGGAUGUUGGCUUAGAAGCAGCCAUCAUUUAAAGAAAGCGUAAUAGCUCACUGGUCGAGUCGGCCUGCGCGGAAGAUGUAACGGGGCUAAACCAUGCACCGAAGCUGCGGCAGCGACGCUUAUGCGUUGUUGGGUAGGGGAGCGUUCUGUAAGCCUGUGAAGGUGUGCUGUGAGGCAUGCUGGAGGUAUCAGAAGUGCGAAUGCUGACAUAAGUAACGAUAAAGCGGGUGAAAAGCCCGCUCGCCGGAAGACCAAGGGUUCCUGUCCAACGUUAAUCGGGGCAGGGUGAGUCGACCCCUAAGGCGAGGCCGAAAGGCGUAGUCGAUGGGAAACAGGUUAAUAUUCCUGUACUUGGUGUUACUGCGAAGGGGGGACGGAGAAGGCUAUGUUGGCCGGGCGACGGUUGUCCCGGUUUAAGCGUGUAGGCUGGUUUUCCAGGCAAAUCCGGAAAAUCAAGGCUGAGGCGUGAUGACGAGGCACUACGGUGCUGAAGCAACAAAUGCCCUGCUUCCAGGAAAAGCCUCUAAGCAUCAGGUAACAUCAAAUCGUACCCCAAACCGACACAGGUGGUCAGGUAGAGAAUACCAAGGCGCUUGAGAGAACUCGGGUGAAGGAACUAGGCAAAAUGGUGCCGUAACUUCGGGAGAAGGCACGCUGAUAUGUAGGUGAAGUCCCUCGCGGAUGGAGCUGAAAUCAGUCGAAGAUACCAGCUGGCUGCAACUGUUUAUUAAAAAACACAGCACUGUGCAAACACGAAAGUGGACGUAUACGGUGUGACGCCUGCCCGGUGCCGGAAGGUUAAUUGAUGGGGUCAGCGCAAGCGAAGCUCUUGAUCGAAGCCCCGGUAAACGGCGGCCGUAACUAUAACGGUCCUAAGGUAGCGAAAUUCCUUGUCGGGUAAGUUCCGACCUGCACGAAUGGCGUAAUGAUGGCCAGGCUGUCUCCACCCGAGACUCAGUGAAAUUGAACUCGCUGUGAAGAUGCAGUGUACCCGCGGCAAGACGGAAAGACCCCGUGAACCUUUACUAUAGCUUGACACUGAACAUUGAGCCUUGAUGUGUAGGAUAGGUGGGAGGCUUAGAAGUGUGGACGCCAGUCUGCAUGGAGCCGACCUUGAAAUACCACCCUUUAAUGUUUGAUGUUCUAACGUUGACCCGUAAUCCGGGUUGCGGACAGUGUCUGGUGGGUAGUUUGACUGGGGCGGUCUCCUCCUAAAGAGUAACGGAGGAGCACGAAGGUUGGCUAAUCCCUGGUCGGACAUCAGGAGGUUAGUGCAAUGGCAUAAGCCAGCUUGACUGCGAGCGUGACGGCGCGAGCAGGUGCGAAAGCAGGUCAUAGUGAUCCGGUGGUUCUGAAUGGAAGGGCCAUCGCUCAACGGAUAAAAGGUACUCCGGGGAUAACAGGCUGAUACCGCCCAAGAGUUCAUAUCGACGGCGGUGUUUGGCACCUCGAUGUCGGCUCAUCACAUCCUGGGGCUGAAGUAGGUCCCAAGGGUAUGGCUGUUCGCCAUUUAAAGUGGUACGCGAGCUGGGUUUAGAACGUCGUGAGACAGUUCGGUCCCUAUCUGCCGUGGGCGCUGGAGAACUGAGGGGGGCUGCUCCUAGUACGAGAGGACCGGAGUGGACGCAUCACUGGUGUUCGGGUUGUCAUGCCAAUGGCACUGCCCGGUAGCUAAAUGCGGAAGAGAUAAGUGCUGAAAGCAUCUAAGCACGAAACUUGCCCCGAGAUGAGUUCUCCCUGACUCCUUGAGAGUCCUGAAGGAACGUUGAAGACGACGACGUUGAUAGGCCGGGUGUGUAAGCGCAGCGAUGCGUUGAGCUAACCGGUACUAAUGAACCGUGAGGCUUAACCUUACAACGCCGAAGCUGUU